RNAcentral lists this ribosomal RNA (167 nucleotides) under uncultured rumen bacterium. RNAcentral's name for it is "partial 16S ribosomal RNA". It matches the Rfam family "Bacterial small subunit ribosomal RNA", at positions 340 to 524 of the family's 1533-position model. The record is from RNAcentral.
UACGGGAGGCAGCAGUGGGGAAUAUUGGACAAUGGGGGAAACCCUGAUCCAGCGACGCCGCGUGAGUGAAGAAGUAUUUCGGUAUGUAAAGCUCUAUCAGCAAGGAAGAAAAUGACGGUACUUGACUAAGAAGCUCCGGCUAAAUACGUGCCAGCAGCCGCGGUAAU